CCUACGGGCGGCAGCAGUGAGGAAUAUUGGUCAAUGGGAGAGAUCCUGAACCAGCCAAGCCGCGUGAGGGAAGACGGCCCUAUGGGUUGUAAACCUCUUUUGUCGGAGAACAACACCCGGGACGUGUCCCGGACUGCGUGUAUCCGAAGAAAAAGCAUCGGCUAACUCCGUGCCAGCAGCCGCGGUAAUACGGAGGAUGCGAGCGUUAUCCGGAUUUAUUGGGUUUAAAGGGUGCGUAGGCGGUCCGUUAAGUCAGCGGGAAAAUUGCGGGGCUCAACCCCGUCGAGCCGUUGAAACUGGCAGACUUGAGUUGGCGAGAAGUACGCGGAAUGCGCGGUGUAGCGGUGAAAUGCAUAGAUAUCGCGCAGAACUCCGAUUGCGAAGGCAGCGUACCGGCGCCAGACUGACGCUGAGGCACGAAAGCGUGGGGAUCGAACAGGAUUAGAUACCCCUGUAGUC
Molecule: ribosomal RNA, 459 nt
Filed under: uncultured bacterium
Lineage: Bacteria
Description: partial 16S ribosomal RNA
Rfam family: Bacterial small subunit ribosomal RNA
Source: RNAcentral